CAAGAAAUAACAAUACGGAGCCUUAUGGUUUUGUAAUUGGAAUGAGUACAAUCUAAAACCCUUAACGAGGNUCAAUUGGAGGGCAAGUCUGGUGCCAGCAGCCGCGGUAAUUCCAGCUCCAAUAGCGUAUAUUAAAGUUGUUGCAGUUAAAAAGCUCGUAGUUGAAAUUUUAGCGCGGUGAGCCCUCUACAAUGUAGCAGCGGCUCUCCGGGCUAAUACUCGCAAAGAAGCCUGUGCUCAUUAACUUGGGCGCAGGUUGAGUUGCGUCGUUUACUGUGAACAAAUUAGGGUGUUUAAAGCAGGCCUACGUUUGAAUACAUUAGCAUGGAAUAAUGAGAUAUGACUUUGGUCGUAUUUGUUGGUGACUGCCGGAGUAAUGAUUGACAGGAACUGUUGUGGGUAUUCGUAUGAGCAUGUCAGAGGUGAAAUUCUUGGAUUUUGAUCAGACGAACUACUGCGAAAGCAUUUNCCAAGGAUGUUUUCAUUAAUCAAGAACGAAAGUUAGGGGAUCGAAGA
This 516-nucleotide ribosomal RNA is filed under the name Labyrinthula sp. ACB-2011a. Its description in RNAcentral is "bacterial SSU rRNA". It matches the Rfam family "Eukaryotic small subunit ribosomal RNA", at positions 471 to 1004 of the family's 1831-position model. The record is from RNAcentral. Lineage: Eukaryota; Bigyra; Labyrinthulida; Labyrinthulaceae.